GUAUAGAUUUAAAUAGGCGAUUAAGCCUAUUGAACAUGCUUAAGACAAUACUGUAGGAGUAUAUAAUAUAAAAACAUAGAUCGGAAAAUGUAAGGAGAGCUAGCUGGACUUUCCCCGCACAGCAAUCCUGAAACCGAGUUGCCUCGAGAGUUAUUCCAAGAUCUACAAAAUAAAAGGUGCACAGAUGGUUUAUUUUAAAAAAGGGUUGGCAUUAAGCGUGCACAUGCCGGGGCCAGCAACAACUCAAAACCAAGCUUAUUCAAUAAUGAUCCUUCCGCAGGUUCACCUACGGAAA
This 295-nucleotide unclassified non-coding RNA is filed under the name uncultured fungus. Its description in RNAcentral is "sequence contains ITS1". Lineage: Eukaryota; Fungi. The record is from RNAcentral.